GGGUUGUGAGGUUAAGCGACUAAGCGUACACGGUGGAUGCCUAGGCAGUCAGAGGCGAUGAAGGGCGUGCUAAUCUGCGAAAAGCGUCGGCAAGGUGAUAUGAACCGUUAUACCCGACGAUACCCGAAUGGGGAAACCCAGUGUGUUUCGACACACUAUCAUGUCAUGAAUCCAUAGUGACAUGAGGCGAACCGGGGGAACUGAAACAUCUCAGUACCCCGAGGAAAAGAAAUCAACCGAGAUUCCCCCAGUAGCGGCGAGCGAACGGGGAAGAGCCCAGAACCAGAAUCAGUUUGUGCAUCAGUGGAAGCGUCUGGAAAGUCGCACGGUACAGGGUGAUAGUCCCGUACACAAAGAUGCGCUUGCUGUGAGUUCGACGAGUAGGGCGGGACACGAGAUAUCCUGUCUGAAGAUGGGGGGACCAUCCUCCAAGGCUAAAUACUCCUGACUGACCGAUAGUGAACCAGUACCGUGAGGGAAAGGCGAAAAGAACCCCGGCGAGGGGAGUGAAACAGAACCUGAAACCGUGUACGUACAAGCAGUGGGAGCCUUGAUUAAUCAGGGUGACUGCGUACCUUUUGUAUAAUGGGUCAGCGACUUAUAUUUUGUAGCAAGGUUAACCGAAUAGGGGAGCCGCAGGGAAACCGAGUCUUAACUGGGCGUCAAGUUGCAAGGUAUAGACCCGAAACCCGGUGAUCUAGCCAUGGGCAGGUUGAAGGUUGGGUAACACUAACUGGAGGACCGAACCGACUAAUGUUGAAAAAUUAGCGGAUGACUUGUGGCUGGGGGUGAAAGGCCAAUCAAACCGGGAGAUAGCUGGUUCUCCCCGAAAGCUAUUUAGGUAGCGCCUCGUGAAGUCAUCUUCGGGGGUAGAGCACUGUUUCGACUAGGGGGCCAUCCCGGCUUACCAACUCGAUGCAAACUACGAAUACCGAAGAAUGUUAUCACGGGAGACACACGGCGGGUGCUAACGUCCGUCGUGAAGAGGGAAACAACCCAGACCGCCAGCUAAGGUCCCAAAGUCAUGGUUAAGUGGGAAACGAUGUGGGAAGGCCCAGACAGCCAGGAUGUUGGCUUAGAAGCAGCCAUCAUUUAAAGAAAGCGUAAUAGCUCACUGGUCGAGUCGGCCUGCGCGGAAGAUGUAACGGGGCUAAACCAUGCACCGAAGCUGCGGCAGCGACGCUUAGGCGUUGUUGGGUAGGGGAGCGUUCUGUAAGCCGUUGAAGGUGGUCUGUGAGGAUUGCUGGAGGUAUCAGAAGUGCGAAUGCUGACAUAAGUAACGAUAAUGCGGGUGAAAAACCCGCACGCCGGAAGACCAAGGGUUCCUGUCCAACGUUAAUCGGGGCAGGGUGAGUCGACCCCUAAGGCGAGGCCGAAAGGCGUAGUCGAUGGGAAACAGGUUAAUAUUCCUGUACUGGGUGUUACUGCGAAGGGGGGACGGAGAAGGCUAUGUUGGCCGGGCGACGGUUGUCCCGGUUUAAGCGUGUAGGUGGGUGCUCCAGGCAAAUCCGGAGCGCUAUUAACGCCGAGGCGUGAUGACGAGGCACUACGGUGUCGAAGUGACAAAUGCCACGCUUCCAGGAAAAGCCCCUAAGCAUCAGGUAACAUCGAAUCGUACCCCAAACCGACACAGGUGGUCAGGUAGAGAAUACUCAGGCGCUUGAGAGAACUCGGGUGAAGGAACUAGGCAAAAUGGUGCCGUAACUUCGGGAGAAGGCACGCUGUGCGAGGUGAAGUCCCUGGCGGAUGGAGCGUUGCGCAGUCGCAGAUACCAGCUGGCUGCAACUGUUUACUAAAAACACAGCACUGUGCAAACACGAAAGUGGACGUAUACGGUGUGACGCCUGCCCGGUGCCGGAAGGUUAAUUGAUGGGGUAAGCCGCAAGGCGAAGCUCUUGAUCGAAGCCCCGGUAAACGGCGGCCGUAACUAUAACGGUCCUAAGGUAGCGAAAUUCCUUGUCGGGUAAGUUCCGACCUGCACGAAUGGCGUAAUGAUGGCCAGGCUGUCUCCACCCGAGACUCAGUGAAAUUGAACUCGCUGUGAAGAUGCAGUGUACCCGCGGCAAGACGGAAAGACCCCGUGAACCUUUACUAUAGCUUGACACUGAACCUUGAGCCUUGAUGUGUAGGAUAGGUGGGAGGCUUUGAAGCGUGGACGCCAGUCUGCGUGGAGCCAACCUUGAAAUACCACCCUUUGAUGUUUGAUGUUCUAACGUGGGCCCGUAAACCGGGUUGCGGACAGUGUCUGGUGGGUAGUUUGACUGGGGCGGUCUCCUCCCAAAGAGUAACGGAGGAGUACGAAGGUUAGCUAAUCCUGGUCGGACAUCAGGAGGUUAGUGCAAAGGCAUAAGCUAGCUUGACUGCGAGAGUGACGGCUCGAGCAGGUGCGAAAGCAGGUCUUAGUGAUCCGGUGGUUCUGAAUGGAAGGGCCAUCGCUCAACGGAUAAAAGGUACUCCGGGGAUAACAGGCUGAUACCGCCCAAGAGUUCAUAUCGACGGCGGUGUUUGGCACCUCGAUGUCGGCUCAUCACAUCCUGGGGCUGAAGUAGGUCCCAAGGGUAUGGCUGUUCGCCAUUUAAAGUGGUACGCGAGCUGGGUUUAGAACGUCGUGAGACAGUUCGGUCCCUAUCUGCCGUGGGCGUUGGAAGAUUGAGGGGGGUUGCUCCUAGUACGAGAGGACCGGAGUGAACGCACCACUGGUGUACGGGUUGUGAUGCCAAUUGCAUUGCCCGGUAGCUACGUGCGGAAGAGAUAACCGCUGAAAGCAUCUAAGCGGGAAACUUGCCCCGAGAUGAGUCUUCCCUGGGCCUUAGAGGCCCCUGAAGGGACGUUUAAGACGAAGACGUUGAUAGGCUGGGUGUGUAAGCGCAGCGAUGCGUUGAGCUGACCAGUACUAAUGACCCGAGAGGCUUAACCUUACAACACCGAAGGUGUUU
RNAcentral lists this ribosomal RNA (2936 nucleotides) under Prodigiosinella confusarubida. Its description in RNAcentral is "bacterial LSU rRNA". It matches the Rfam family "Bacterial large subunit ribosomal RNA". The record is from RNAcentral. Lineage: Bacteria; Pseudomonadati; Pseudomonadota; Gammaproteobacteria; Enterobacterales; Pectobacteriaceae.